GGGGUUGUAGCUCAGUGGUAGAGUGCUAACCUUGCAUGUUUGAGGCACUGGGUUCAAUCCUCAGCAACACAU
Molecule: non-coding RNA, 72 nt
Organism: Ictidomys tridecemlineatus (thirteen-lined ground squirrel)
Lineage: Eukaryota; Metazoa; Chordata; Mammalia; Rodentia; Sciuridae
Source: Rfam